CGUAGGAGGCAAGCGUUAUCCGGAUUUACUGGGCGUAAAGGGCAAGUAGGCGGUUGUUCAAGUUGGGCGUGACAGAUCUCGGCUUAACUGAGAAAGGUCGUCCAAUACUGAGCGACUAGAGGGCAGGAGAGGAAAGUGGAACUCCCGAUGUAGCGGUGGAAUGCUCAGAUAUCGGGAAGAACACCAGUGGCGAAGGCGGCUUUCUGGCCUGUACCUGACGCUGAGAGGCGAAAGCUAGGGGAGCAAACGGGCUUAGAUACCCCUGUA
RNAcentral lists this ribosomal RNA (267 nucleotides) under uncultured prokaryote. Its description in RNAcentral is "partial 16S ribosomal RNA". It matches the Rfam family "Bacterial small subunit ribosomal RNA", at positions 526 to 792 of the family's 1533-position model. The record is from RNAcentral.